This 347-nucleotide ribosomal RNA is filed under the name Klebsiella pneumoniae. Its description in RNAcentral is "bacterial LSU rRNA". It matches the Rfam family "Bacterial large subunit ribosomal RNA", at positions 2596 to 2925 of the family's 2925-position model. The record is from RNAcentral. Lineage: Bacteria; Pseudomonadati; Pseudomonadota; Gammaproteobacteria; Enterobacterales; Enterobacteriaceae.
GUACGCGAGCUGGGUUUAGAACGUCGUGAGACAGUUCGGUCCCUAUCUGCCGUGGGCGCUGGAGAAUUGAGGGGGGCUGCUCCUAGUACGAGAGGACCGGAGUGGACGCAUCACUGGUGUUCGGGUUGUCAUGCCAAUGGCACUGCCCGGUAGCUAAAUGCGGAAGAGAUAAGUGCUGAAAGCAUCUAAGCACGAAACUUGCCCCGAGAUGAGUUCUCCCUGAGACUUUAAGUCUCCUGAAGGAACGUUAAAGACGAUGACGUUGAUAGGCCGGGUGUGUAAGCGCAGCGAUGCGUUGAGCUAACCGGUACUAAUGAACCGUGAGGCUUAACCUUACAACGCCGAAG